Orbicella faveolata is the source of this 1166-nucleotide long non-coding RNA. The record is from RefSeq and is a predicted model, not a curated record. Lineage: Eukaryota; Metazoa; Cnidaria; Anthozoa; Scleractinia; Merulinidae.
AUGAUAAUCUUGUUCUCCACCCGAACAGGAUGCUGGUCUUGUGAAGCGGGAAGAUCUUCCAAAAGACUGUUUUAUUGUGUAUCAAGGUCACCAUGGCGACCAUGGCGCACACAUCGCUGACGUCGUCCUGCCCGGUGCAGCGUACACAGAGAAGACCGCCACUUACGUAAACACAGAGGGGAGGGCCCAGCAGACCAGGAGGGCUGUCACGCCACCCGUGUACGCGCGUGACGAUUGGAAGAUCAUCAGAGCGCUGUCAGAGAUCGCGGGUAAUACCCUUCCAUACGACAACUUAGAAGAAAUCAGACGAAGACUCUCCGAGCUGUCUCCGAACCUGACUCGGUAUGGUGACGUAGAGGAGGCGAACUUCUUCAACUUAGCUCUGGGUUUGAUGCAGGGCUCUAAAGCACAAUCGUUGAAGCAACCCCUGCAGCCAAGUAUUCUGGAACUGAAGGAUUUCUACAUGACGGACGCCAUUAGCCGUGCUUCGCAGACCAUGGCUAAAUGUGUAAACGCUGUACAAACAAUGAAGUGAAAGCUGUGGAGAGAAAAAAAGAAGAAACUACCAAUUUGUAAAUAGGCCGUUUGAGGAAGCCAUUUACACGCCGCCAAGACAAGCACUGUUACAGUAAUUGAUGGACUUUAUAAUUUUCUGUAUCAAAAUGGUUUCCGUCGUAGGCUUGUAAGAAAUAAAAUAUAUGCGUCAAUCAUUAGGCAAUAAGAGAGCCUACCACAGACAACCAGAGAUGUAGCCUUUAGAUAUGACUAUCACGGAAAAUACAUUUUAUAAAGUUGUCCAUUUUUUAAGUGCUUGGAAUACCUAUUCCAAAUAUAUGCUUCGUGUUCAGACAAGAUGAAAGUUGAGUAUUUCCAACCAAUUGUGAGACUACGUUGAAUAAAUAUUUCAAUUGUUAUCAAAGCAGCCAAGAACAAACUCAAAGUUCUUAAAGAUUAGGAGCGCUACAAUUCUACGAAAAGUCAUUGUUCGGAGCUGAAAAUGUUUCACAUUCAAAUCCCGAUUUAAACGAAGCAUUUGGUAACUUAGUAAACUGGCGGGCUGUGUGUAAAAUUGAAGAGUUGUUAUAGUCUGUCAGAUUAUUUUUGUAUAGUUUCAUUCGUUUACACGAGUGAUGGUGGCAGCAUGUAAUAAAAUGAGUUAAGUCGUA